GUUUAUGGAUCCAGAAUUUGCUAAAAAAGCUCUCCGAGAUCAUUCUAAGAAUCUUCUAUGUUCUAAAUCAAAGAUGGUCAUAUGAAGCCUGGAACGAAACAAAUGAAGAGACCGAAAUGAAUGAAGAAGACCUUUUCAGAUUUUAUGUCGAGUUACGUCAUUGUUUGCAUCAUUGAUGUAAAAUAUACCUGGGAGAAACUCCUUCUAGCCGCACCUCACGCAUGAGGAGUGAUAGCUCAUAUCGAAAACCCCCGAGCUGAAGUGUGUGUCACACGAGAGUCUGCAACAUGGAGUCACGUGCGAAGGACAAAAUUUGUCGUUACGGCAGUAGACAAUUCUAGCUAAGAAAGCAGAGUUCAGAGCAGAAUUGAAGCAGAAAGCUGCCGACCAACACCUGUACCUCUCAGCGCAGCAACACAAAACAAAAAAGGUGGCACCCAAUCUAUUCACCCAACUCCUGACAGUACAUGGAAUCACCCCAGACAAUUACAGACUUCCUCUGGCGUUUGGUCUUCUCCCUGGAAAGCGGCAAGAACACUACACAAACUUACUAGAAGAACUGGAUCGCUUUGGACCUUUCCAGCCAGACACCGCCCUUUGUGAUAAUGAAGCUAGACUACGGAACAGUGUCACUGCUGUCUGGCCCGGGACUACUCAACGUGGCUGCUACUUCCACUUCAAACAGGCUCUAUGGAGGAACUUCGCUCGCUCCGACCUUGUUCCGGAGUAUCAGGUGGUUGGAUCCGACAUCCGGAAAGCCUUCCAACGGAUCGGAGCUCUACCUUUCAUCCCUCCUGAUGACAUUCACUACGCAGGGCAGACCUUUAGACCUAUCCUCUCCGCAGAUAUGGAUGUCUUAACAUUAUACUUUGAGUCCACGUGGAUGGGAACACCAAACAGACCUGCUCGCUUCGAUCACCUGUCCUGGAACCAGUACGAUUGCUGUCUAGCUGGUCUCCCACGCUCUUUGAACCUUCCAGAAGGAUGACAUAAUGGUUUCCGCAGCCUCGUCCAGUGUUCAAAUCCUACCAUCUGGAAAUUCCUUGAAGCCCUCAAACUAGAGCAAGGACUAACAGACUCAACACUGACAACACUCUUGGAGUAUUCUAAGACAGGACAACACUUGUUAUGCUCCAGCUCUACAAAUCCCUGAUAAGGUCCAGAGUGGAGUACUGCUGCCCGCUUUGGAAUCAAAACAAGAUCUAUGAUGUCCAGUCUAUCGAGAGCAUACAACGCUAGUUCACCAGACGGAUUCUAGGGCUCAGAGACACCGAUUAAAUGGAAUAGACUGAAGGAACUGAAACUUACAUCACUGCAAAGACGCCGAGAACGCUACACCAUCAUUCAUCUGUGGAAAGUUCUCCAGGGUAUAUGUCCAAAUGACCUAGAUGUACAGUUCAGAGAGAAUGCCAGACUGGGAGUUAAAGUUAUACUCCCUUCUCUCACCAAACAAGCAUCAGCUGCUGCACGCUCCACCUACGACCACUCAUUCGCAGUAAGAGCUGGAAGACUCUGGAAUGUUCUCCCCAAAAUUGUCAAUACUCAAAGGACUUUGACAAGCUUCAAGACAUCUCUUGGAAACUUCCUAGACACCCUUCCAGAAUCCAGACAAGCCCCUACUUCUGGAUACAGUGCAGAAAACUCUAUUUCUACAGACAUAGCGGAGUUCUACAGUUACUAGCUACGAGUCCACAUGGAUCGAGAUCUCAUCAAUCCUACCUUCGCUCACUACAAAUGGAGUCCACCAAGAUGCUGCUUCCCCGGAGUUCAACAUAGCUGAAGGAUUGCUCCACGGCCUCUACUGCACUCAAUGUUAUCCUUUUCAAACCUUACUAUCUGGAAAUUUCUGGACUGUCUGAAGGCGGGGCAGGACAUAACAUAUGUGAAACUCACGAAGAGACUGUGCAGAGAACGUCCUAGCCGAGGAGCAGCAAAGUGGAUCUUAAGUAUGACGAGAGACUGCAGACUGUUAACUUGAUUUUCUUAAAGUUAUUGGAUGUAUGAUUUGAAUUUAUGAUAUAAUGAAUUUGUGAUUUAAAUUUAUUAACAUGACUUUCAAAUUGAUAAUCUCUCUUGGUGAAGAAUAUAAUAAUAA
Molecule: long non-coding RNA, 2095 nt
Organism: Bolinopsis microptera
Lineage: Eukaryota; Metazoa; Ctenophora; Tentaculata; Lobata; Bolinopsidae
Exons: 4
Source: RefSeq, a predicted model, not a curated record